Molecule: ribosomal RNA, 2003 nt
Filed under: human gut metagenome
Description: bacterial LSU rRNA
Rfam family: Bacterial large subunit ribosomal RNA
Source: RNAcentral
AAUCGAACCCGGAGAUAGCUGGUUCUCUCCGAAAUAGCUUUAGGGCUAGCCUUGAAAUAGAUUACCGGAGGUAAAGCACUGAAUUGGCUAGGGGCCGAGAGGUUACUGAACCUUAUCAAACUAAGAAUGCCGGAUAAUCGUUUUUCAGGAGUCAGACAGUGGGAGAUAAGUUUCAUUGUCAAAAGGGAAACAGCCCAGACCCACAGCUAAGGUCCCCAAGUAUAGUUAAGUGGAAAAGGAUGUGGAAUUGCACAGACAACCAGGAUGUUGGCUUAGAAGCAGCCACUCAUUAAAAGAGUGCGUAAUAGCUCACUGGUCGAGUGACUCUGCGCCGAAAAUUUAACGGGGCUAAACUAUACACCGAAGCUUGGGAUACAUCUAAUGUAUGGUAGGAGAGCGUUCUGUAUGGGGAGAAGUCGUAGCGAAAGCGGCGGUGGACUAUACAGAAGUGAGAAUGCCGGAAUAAGUAGCGAGAAUUAAGUGAGAAUCUUAAUGGCCGAAAGUCUAAGGUUUUUGGAGGAAGGUUCGUCCGCUCCAAGUAAGUCGGGAGCUAAGGUCAGGCCGAAAGGCGUAGCCGAUGCACAUACGGUUGAUAUUCCGUAACCAUCUGUAAUUUAAGCAAAGGGACACUUCAAAAGGGUGUGACCCGGGCGUUGGUUGACCCGGGCGUAAGGGACCGAAAUUAGAGUAGGGAAGCACACUUAGCUGAAGGCGAGAAAAGCUUUGCGUAUAGAAACAGAUGCCCGUACCGCAAACCGACACAGGUGGACAGGAAGAGAAUUCUAAGGCCAGCGGGAGAAGGGUAGUUAAGGAACUCGGCAAAUUGACUCCGUAACUUCGGAAUAAGGAGUGCUCGAAAGAGCCGCAGAGAAUAGGCCCAGGCGACUGUUUAGCAAAAACACAGGUCUCUGCCAAAUCGAAAGAUGAAGUAUAGGGGCUGACACCUGCCCGGUGCCGGAAGGUUAAGAGGAGGAGUGAGAGCUCCGAAUUGAAGCCCCGGUAAACGGCGGCCGUAACUAUAACGGUCCUAAGGUAGCGAAAUUCCUUGUCGGGUAAGUUCCGACCCGCACGAAUGGUGUAACGAUCUGGGCACUGUCUCAACUACCCACCCGGCGAAAUUGUAGUACCGGUGAAGAUGCCGGUUACCUGCGGCAAGACGGAAAGACCCCAUGGAGCUUUACUGUAGCCUGAUAUUGGGUUUCGGAAAUCUAUGUACAGGAUAGGCGGGAGACUGGGAAACAUGAGCGUCAGCUUGUGUGGAGUCGAUGUUGGGAUACCGCCCUUAGGUUUCUGGAAUUCUAACCUGCGGCCGUGAAUCCGGUCGGGGGACAUUGUCAGGUGGGCAGUUUGACUGGGGCGGUCGCCUCCGAAAAGGUAACGGAGGCGCUCAAAGGUUAGCUCAGCACGGACGGAAACCGUGCCUCUGAGUGUAAACGCAAAAGCUAGCCUAACUGCGAGGGUGACGGCCCGAGCAGUAACGAAAGUUGGAGUUAGUGAUCCGGCGGUAUGUGAAUGGAAAUGCCGUCGCUCAACGGAUAAAAGCUACCCUGGGGAUAACAGGCUGAUCUCCCCCAAGAGUCCACAUCGACGGGGAGGUUUGGCACCUCGAUGUCGGCUCAUCACAUCCUGGGGCUGUAUUCGGUCCCAAGGGUUCGGCUGUUCGCCGAUUAAAGUGGUACGCGAGCUGGGUUCAGAACGUCGCGAGACAGUUCGGUCCCUAUCUGUCGUGGGCGCAGGAUAUUUGAGGAGCUCUGUCCUUAGUACGAGAGGACCGGGAUGGACGUACCUCUGGUGCACCAGUUGUCAUGCCAAUGGCACGGCUGGGCAGCUAUGUACGGAACGGAUAAACGCUGAAAGCAUCUAAGCGUGAAGCCGACUCCAAGAUUAGAUAUCCCAUCGUAUAACGAGUAAGACCCCUUGAAGACUACGAGGUUGAUAGGCUGCGUGUGUAAGUGCCGUGAGGCAUUCAGCUUGGCAGUACUAAUAGGUCGAGGGCUUGACCA